CUCGUUCUGUCGACAAAUUCAUCCCGACACUGUUGUUUACGGGGGCUUGCGGGCGAGCGUGAUGCGCGGCCCAGGCCCCUGCACGCGCACUGACCGCCGUCCACCACGGUGUAAAAUCACGGUCCAUGCGAUUUGGGUUCAUGGUCCACGGCGGUAGCUGGUCUAUAGGUAUUUCUGUAGAUCAGAUGUGAUCGGAUGGUUGAGAUCCGAUCUGGCAUACGAUCAGAUAGUGCAGAUGGCUUGCAGGUGUGAUUUGGGUCUGAUGAAGCUUGAUGGAGCACGAUCAAGCACCCGAGGAGACUUGCGGUGCUGAUCGGACAGCCAUGAAGCAUCUGGAAUCCGAUUAGAAGUAGUUCUCCGAACCAAGAAGGAUUUUUAGAGCUUUAAAGGCCCUGUGGACGAACAGAAUGGUGGGGGGUGUAGUCGAG
Molecule: long non-coding RNA, 428 nt
Filed under: Elaeis guineensis (African oil palm)
Lineage: Eukaryota; Viridiplantae; Streptophyta; Magnoliopsida; Arecales; Arecaceae
Description: long non-coding RNA (EGUI_LNC005207)
Source: RNAcentral